Molecule: ribosomal RNA, 473 nt
Filed under: uncultured bacterium
Lineage: Bacteria
Description: bacterial SSU rRNA
Rfam family: Bacterial small subunit ribosomal RNA
Source: RNAcentral
CAANUCGAGCGGAGCGGGAAAGUAGCUUGCUACUUUUGCCGGCGAGCGGCGGACGGGUGAGUAAUGCCUGGGAAAUUGCCCAGUCGAGGGGGAUAACAGUUGGAAACGACUGCUAAUACCGCAUACGCCCUACGGGGGAAAGCAGGGGACCUUCGGGCCUUGCGCGAUUGGAUAUGCCCAGGUGGGAUUAGCUAGUUGGUGAGGUAAUGGCUCACCAAGGCGACGAUCCCUAGCUGGUCUGAGAGGAUGAUCAGCCACACUGGAACUGAGACACGGUCCAGACUCCUACGGGAGGCAGCAGUGGGGAAUAUUGCACAAUGGGGGAAACCCUGAUGCAGCCAUGCCGCGUGUGUGAAGAAGGCCUUCGGGUUGUAAAGCACUUUCAGCGAGGAGGAAAGGUCAGUAGCUAAUAUCUGCUGGCUGUGACGUUACUCGCAGAAGAAGCACCGGCUAACUCCGUGCCAGCAGCCGCG